CACGUAGGGGCCAAGCGUUGUCCGGAUUUAUUGGGCGUAAAGAGCUCGUAGGCGGUUGGGUAAGUCGGGUGUGAAAACUCCAGGCUCAACUUGGAGAUGCCACCCGAUACUGCUCUGACUUGAGUUCGGUAGGGGAGUGGGGAAUUCCUGGUGUAGCGGUGAAAUGCGCAGAUAUCAGGAGGAACACCGGUGGCGAAGGCGCCACUCUGGGCCGAAACUGACGCUGAGGAGCGAAAGCGUGGGUAGCAAACAGG
RNAcentral lists this ribosomal RNA (254 nucleotides) under uncultured bacterium. RNAcentral's name for it is "partial 16S ribosomal RNA". It matches the Rfam family "Bacterial small subunit ribosomal RNA", at positions 524 to 776 of the family's 1533-position model. The record is from RNAcentral.